ACUACCACCAGACAGGGGGUAUAGGGGGCUGAAGACACGCACACACAACGUUCUCGAGAUUUCUGAAUGCACAAUGAACCCUGCAACUCUGCCUCGCUGCUUUACACUCCCUUUGCACUACUCACUGCCUGAUCUGCUGAGCUUCUCCAGCAUUUUGCCUGGUUAGACCCACAGAGCUAGUUCAACGAUUUUGACCCGGUGAUGGUGAAAGAACGGUGGUAUAUCUUCAAGCCAGGAUGGAGCGUAAGUGUUUGGUGAAGAGGUCUGACAGAUACACAGAAAGCCACACCAGGAGCACCGGAUACAGUAGAUGACCCCAACAGACUCACAGGUGAGGUGUCGCCUGUUUGAAGCCCUGAACGCUGGUGAGGGAGGAGGUGUAGGGGCAGGUGUAGCACUUUUUCCACUUGCUAAGGUAAGUGUCAGGAGGGAGAUCAGUGGCGAGGGAUGAAUGGACAAGGGAGUCGCACACGGAGCGAUCCCUGCGGAAAGUAGAAAGUUUGGAGGAGGGAAAGACGUACUUUGUGCUGGGAUCCUGUUGGAGAUGGCGGAAGUUGCGGGGAAUUAUGUGCUGGAUGUGGAGGCUGGUGGGGCGGUAGGCGAUAGGUUGCACAUCUCCUUUAAACUUCACCCCUCUCACUUUCAAUGCAUGCGGUCCGGUAUUGGGCAAAAGAUAUUGGCUGUCUACUCUAUCUAUAAGUUUAUAAACUUCUGUCAGAUUUUCCUCAGGAUCUGCUGCUCCAGUGAAAACAAGUUUGUCUAAUCUCUCCUUGUAGUAGACACCCUCUAAUCCAGGCAGCACCCUGGAGAACCUCUUCUGCACUAGAGACUAAGCAAUGCACUCUUCCACACAAACAGAGGUAUCUCCAUGAAUCAUUUAAUUGGUGCUUUAACGCAGUGACUAUGUUAUGCUGAUCCAAUGAAGACUAUAUUUAUUGCUGCUGUCAUCUCAAUAAUCACCAGAUCAUGGAAUCAUCCCUGUCAUCAAACCGUUCUGAAACUUCAUUCAGCACAGAGUUGUCAAUCUUAUCUUACACCAAAGUUAGCUUGAUUGAAAACUUUGAGCACCAUCUAAUUCCUUAUUUUCAUCUGCCAGUACCAAUCAUAAAUGUAUUCUUCAGGUGAUAGAAACCAUUAAAAUCUACGUGCAAACACACACAAUAUGCUGGAGGAACUCUGCAGGCCAGAAAGCACCUAUGGAAAAAGAUAAUGUACAGAAUCAACUGGAAUUUAAAUGGAGACCUUGAACAGCAAUGUCGAUGGACAAAAUUUACUUCUGAAAUACUUGGCUGGACUAUAAAUGUUGUCUUAGAAGAGGCGAGAGUGUCAGGAAAGCUGAGGC
Long non-coding RNA from Hypanus sabinus (Atlantic stingray), 1342 nucleotides. RefSeq lists it as uncharacterized. Lineage: Eukaryota; Metazoa; Chordata; Chondrichthyes; Myliobatiformes; Dasyatidae. The record is from RefSeq and is a predicted model, not a curated record. The transcript is spliced from 4 exons.